Molecule: non-coding RNA, 29 nt
Filed under: Mus musculus (house mouse)
Lineage: Eukaryota; Metazoa; Chordata; Mammalia; Rodentia; Muridae
Source: RNAcentral
UNGCCUACACAAGCUAAGGAACUCUGGUC